UGGGGAAUCUUGCGCAAUGCGCGAAAGCGUGACGCAGCAACGCCGCGUGGGGGAAGAAGGCUUUCGGGUUGUAAACCCCUUUCAGUUGGGACGAAGCUUCGCCGGUGAAUAGCCGGCUGGAGUGACGGUACCUUCACAAGAAGCACCGGCUAACUACGUGCCAGCAGCCGCGGUAAUACGUAGGGUGCAAGCGUUGUCCGGAAUUAUUGGGCGUAAAGAGCGUGUAGGCGGCCUCAUCAGUCCGCUGUGAAAGUCCAGGGCUCAACCCUGGGAUGCCGGUGGAUACUGUGAGGCUAGAGUCCGGAAGGGGCGAGUGGAAUUCCUGGUGUAGCGGUGAAAUGCGCAGAUAUCAGGAGGAACACCAAUGGCGAAGGCAGCUCGCUGGGACGGUACUGACGCUGAGACGCGAAAGCGUGGGGAGCAAACAGGAUUAGAUACCCCCGUAGUCC
Molecule: ribosomal RNA, 449 nt
Filed under: uncultured bacterium
Lineage: Bacteria
Description: bacterial SSU rRNA
Rfam family: Bacterial small subunit ribosomal RNA
Source: RNAcentral